Microplitis mediator is the source of this 690-nucleotide long non-coding RNA. RefSeq lists it as uncharacterized. The transcript is spliced from 3 exons. The record is from RefSeq and is a predicted model, not a curated record. Lineage: Eukaryota; Metazoa; Arthropoda; Insecta; Hymenoptera; Braconidae.
CGUAAGAAAGAAAACCAAGAACGUUGUUGCUGUUCUGAGCAACAACAACAACAACAACAACAAUGCCAAUAUCCAUACCGACCGCCAAUAUCCUUACCGACGGCCAGUUCACCGACCGCCGGUAGGUUACGCUCCGUCGGUAACUUAACACGGACAAGAACCCAUAAUCUGUUUUAUCGGGGGGGGGGGGUGAACUCCCCCAGCUCAACUACUCUUCUUCUUCAUUCACAAAAAAAUUUAAAAAAAAUUGUUCUGGAUGAUUAUACGACCACUAUAUAUUCUAAACGUACAUUAAGAUGACGUGGAUUAUUGUCUCCUUCGUUGAACCACAAUAUCACUAGGCCAAUAGGUUUUGUGCCAACAGAAGCAGUAAACGACAAAUUGGAGUGGUUAAGUAAUCAUUUAGAUCCUCAACGAACGGCUUUCGAAUAUUAAAAUUUCACUUUUGAUGCGCGGCGUGACAUUCUGUCCAAGCAAAUCAGCAUUUUUGAUCAUUACGGCCGCUUUCAUUCUUCGAGUACUGAGUUUGGUUCCGGAUUGUUGCAAGCUGAUUUUAAAAAGCUGCAUCCAAAAGCUGAAAAUACUUUCUUUGAUCGCUUUGACGAUGUUCGGAAUUAUUUAGUCCAACGUUUACAAUCUUUAAAAAUCCUAAAAAUCCUAAUGAUAAGUGUUAUGUAACUUUAUUAGAAA